Molecule: long non-coding RNA, 2387 nt
Organism: Drosophila yakuba
Lineage: Eukaryota; Metazoa; Arthropoda; Insecta; Diptera; Drosophilidae
Exons: 4
Source: RefSeq, a predicted model, not a curated record
GUUUAAUUUAGCUGGAAUUUCGUCAAGUGCAGAAUGUGUAUACCUUUCACCGGCUUUAUUAAGCAACGCAGCACCUCUACAAAUGGAUAUUCAAGCAGCACCGCGAAAAGUGCAGCCACGAGCUGGGUAAAAGCUGGAGAUGUAGACCGGCUGUCUAAAAUAUCCCACCGCUGUCCUUAGGACGACAAUGUGCCAGAGAAAAGACUGAAAUGAGAUCCUUGCCAACGGCCGAAACACCGGCAAUGUGCAGAAAUCGUAGGCCAUGCCUGUCGUAGAUUCCUCAUAAGGAUCACGAAUCCGGCGCAUAUAACCACCCACAAGAUCUUAUGGAUGCCCGCAUACAAGGCUAGCCAUAGCGAUGGUUUUGCAAAGUCCAGUCGAAUGAAGAUGUAGCCGGAGAAAAGGACUCCCAACGUGGCCAGCACAAGCAGCCACAUGGUGAGCCCGUACUUAAGAUGACCCAAAAGUUCUACUUUUCCAGAACGAUGUCUGAGGUAAAAGUGACCGCACAGAAAACCAAAAAGAUAGCCUCCCAAAUUUGUGUAAAAGGGGGGAUACAUUUGGUAGAAUGUGUCCGAAUGUCGGAAGUACAAGUAGCGAUACGUUCUAGGGACAUUCACUUAUCAUUGACUGAGAAAUAUAUCAAAAGUUAUAAAAACCUACUCCGGACGAAUAUGGUAGAUGCCAUCCAACUGAAGAGCGUAGGUCAGUACAGCAGGCACUGCAAAGGCAAGUGCAAAAAGAGUUGCGUAGAUGCCCCUUGUCAGCUUGGGAUGUCUAAAAGCAGCACAGAGGUAUUUUUAAAUUCCAAGAUGGGCAAGGAACUCACUUUUUGGUUAUGAUAAUGACUAUAAGAAAGAGCUCAAAUAGCUGCAUGUCAGCUCCUAAGUACCAUGUCUGAUGGGAGCACUACAAUAAAAAUAAGUUAUAUAAUAGGUAAGGUGAUUUUAAAUGCUUCCACUGCAGUGCGCUGCCUUAAACUUCAGGUGGCUUUUCUGAAACGCUGAACGAUAAUUAAAAUAACGUACACUGUCUUCCAGCAUAUGGUUUGUCACGAAGAACACGUUCUUCCACCAGUUGGACCGACAGAAGACCCGCUCGGCCUCCGUAAGAUGUAGCCAAAAGGGGCCGUCUUGAAGGCGCACCAGCAGUGUUCCAUUGAACAGGAUGAGAGCUAGAAGCGACGGCAGGAGUCUAAAGUAUCUGUAGAAAAACACACGGAAGUACACAGCAAUGCACUGAAACGUGCCGGUCUUGGGUUCAAUCAGUUGACGUUUGGUAAAUUUCACGUAGAGAAGAAAGCCACUUAUAACGAAAAAUAUCUGGAUGACCAAGCUGCCGUUCUGGAAUAUUGACGUCUCGAACCUGAAAAGGAACUGCUCAAAAAACUCCGGAUUUUCUAUUGGAACAGUCAUGUAGACCAUAAGCGUGUGGCCCAAGAUCACUAUAAACACGCCGAUCACCCGAAAGCCGUCAAAAAAGCUCACAUCACGCGAGAAAUCUGAGUUAUACGGCUCAACCAAUCGAUGAUAGUUUCGUACCAUUGAGAAGGACGUAAGGAGUCGUUUUCCUGAAGGCCGACCAAAAUCAACUUAAGCGUUCCAAAUUCCUGUAGUUCAUAUCUACUUACCACGACUCUUCGGUGGCUUUCGAUAGAAAUUUUCUGAUUUUUGCGAGCUCAUUCGACUCAUUCGGUAGUCAAGGAAAGAGGAACACAAAGUUGUAAGGAUGAUAACGACCAGAAUACCAUAAAACGUAAAGUCAACCCAAUCUGAGGAAAUAAACUUUACACAGUGCUUCAAUUACCACAUACAGGAAUACAAGCGGAAAACUGCACCAAUACAAUUAUAUAGCUUGUUAAAAAUAAUCUUGACUUACCCAGCUUAAAGUCCUUAUCCGAGGACGAGACACAAUACUCGAUAAGGUUUUGAACCCUGAGCGAAAACUUCUCACCGAACUUAUAGUUUAGGCAGCUGUUCACAACCUUUUUAUGGAGAAGAGCCCUUUCUGAAUUCGUUUCUUGCCGAUGGUGUACCUUGUCGUAGUAGGAUAUAAGUUCCUUAUCCAGUAUUUCAUCUUUCUCGUACUCCCUGAACUCAGAUAUGUUAUUAAUACUUUGCUUGCAGCUCUCCAGACACACGCCCCUGAAGACGUGAUCAUGGCGAAAACGGUGCUUUGAGUCCUUUGAAACUUCGUCAAUUUGGUGCCACAGAGCAGAACUAGCAUUGGGUAAAAUCUCGACGUACACCAAGCAAAAGCUUCAUAUUGCUUAACCCAAGUGACGCCCAGUGAAUAUCGGCAGAUCCAAAUGGGACUUCACGUAGAAUGCAAAAGGAUGGUUAGCAAUGAAGUGCUUGCGACUGAAGCCAGCCACGGGCAUCACCCGG